Molecule: long non-coding RNA, 208 nt
Filed under: Elaeis guineensis (African oil palm)
Lineage: Eukaryota; Viridiplantae; Streptophyta; Magnoliopsida; Arecales; Arecaceae
Description: long non-coding RNA (EGUI_LNC013966)
Source: RNAcentral
GAGGUGAGAUUGAUGGUGAACCGAGCUGGAGAGCUGAGAGUUGUGCUUGUUGGAUAAGAUCCGAUACUAAUUAUUAUAAAAAAUAAUAAUAAUAAUCAAAUAUGUGGAUCAACCAAAAAGCUCGCCUCCACGAGGCAUGCAAAGCUUCACUAUGAAAAACAAAAAUUAAUUACAAGAGGAGACCUCACUUGCUCAACUCUCAAAUCCC